UGCCGCUUGCUGGAUGGGUUCCAUAUAAGAACCGGUGGUGGCGGGGGUGGUGGGGAGAGGGUAGUUGGAAGCCUGGGACAGGACUCGGAGUGGGAAGACUGGGCCAGAGGUCCAGAGAAGAAUUCCCAGCUCCCUGCCAGGGGAUUUGGCUGCAGAAUUCCUUAUGGAGGAGCGAAGUGUCCUUAAAAUGAAGGCUGUUUGGGUUCAUCUGUUUAACCAGCCCAGGCUCAACCAGCAGUUCAGAGACGGGGUUUCACCAUGGUGCCCAGGCUCAAGCAAUCUGCCUAUCUUGGCCUCCCAAAGUGCUGGGAUUACAGGCAUGAGCCCAGCCCCCAAUCAGCUUUAACAGUAGGGGCCAGGGCCAGGGCAGGGAAGCCCCUCUAAGAGGCUACUGCACUGACUCAGCCAUGUAAUGUGCCUGCUCCCCCUUUGCCUUCUGCCACGAGUGGAAGCUUCCUGAGGCCUCAUCAGAAGCAGAUACUGGCUCCUUGCUUCCUGUACAGCCUGUGGAACCAUGAGCCAAAUAAACCUCUUUUCUUUAUAAAUUACCCAGCCUCAGAUAUUCCCUUAUUGGAGUGCAAAACAGACUAACACAGGAUCCAAUUUGACAGAAGAGGCCAGCGCCACGGGAGUGGUGUGGACUGCAGCUAUAAACAG
RNAcentral lists this long non-coding RNA (657 nucleotides) under Homo sapiens (human). RNAcentral describes it as "HSALNT0340570". Lineage: Eukaryota; Metazoa; Chordata; Mammalia; Primates; Hominidae. The record is from RNAcentral.